CCCUUAGAUGUCCGGGGCCGCACGCGCGCUACAAUGGAUGAAUCAACGCGUCAUCCUGGCCCGAAAGGGUUGGGGAACCGCUGAACCUCAUCCGUGGUUGGGAUUGGGGUUUGUAAUUAUUCCCCAUGAACUAGGAAUUCCCAGUAAGCGCGAGUCAUAAGCUCGCGUUGAUUACGUCCCUGCCCUUUGUACACACCGCCCGUCGCUACUACCGAUUGGAUGGUUUAGUGAGAUCCUCGGAUUGGUCACGGCACGGUGGCAACACUGCGUCGGUGUGCCAAGAAGACGAUCAAACUUGAUCAUCUAGAGGAAGUAAAAGUCGUAACA
This 327-nucleotide ribosomal RNA is filed under the name uncultured eukaryote. RNAcentral's name for it is "partial 18S ribosomal RNA". It matches the Rfam family "Eukaryotic small subunit ribosomal RNA", at positions 1470 to 1796 of the family's 1831-position model. The record is from RNAcentral.